Molecule: ribosomal RNA, 468 nt
Filed under: uncultured bacterium
Lineage: Bacteria
Description: partial 16S ribosomal RNA
Rfam family: Bacterial small subunit ribosomal RNA
Source: RNAcentral
GACGAACGCUGGCGGCGUGCUUAACACAUGCAAGUCGAACGGAAAGGCCCUGCUUUUGUGGGGUGCUCGAUUGGCGAACGCGUGAGUAACACGUGAGUAACCUGCCCUUGACUUUGGGAUAACUUCAGGAAACUGGGGCUAAUACCGGAUAGGAGCUCCUGCUGCAUGGUGGGGGAUGGAAAGUUUCGGCGGUUGGGGAUGGACUCGCGGCUUAUCAGCUUGUUGGUGGGGUAGUGGCUUACCAAGGCUUUGACGGGUAGCCGGCCUGAGAGGGUGACCGGCGACAUUGGGACUGAGAUACGGACCAGACUGCUACGGGAGGCAGCAGUGGGGAAUAUUGCACAAUGGGCGGAAGCCAGAUGCAGCAACGCCGCGUGCGUGAAGACGGCCUUCGGGUUGUAAACCGCUUUCGCCUGUGACGAAGAGUGAGUGACGGUAAUGGGUAAAGAAGCACCGGCUAACUACGUG